RNAcentral lists this ribosomal RNA (2574 nucleotides) under Staphylococcus aureus. RNAcentral's name for it is "bacterial LSU rRNA". It matches the Rfam family "Bacterial large subunit ribosomal RNA", at positions 344 to 2925 of the family's 2925-position model. Lineage: Bacteria; Bacillati; Bacillota; Bacilli; Caryophanales; Staphylococcaceae. The record is from RNAcentral.
GGAAAGAUGAAUCAAAGAAGGUAAUAAUCCUGUAGUCGAAAAUGUUGUCUCUCUUGAGUGGAUCCUGAGUACGACGGAGCACGUGAAAUUCCGUCGGAAUCUGGGAGGACCAUCUCCUAAGGCUAAAUACUCUCUAGUGACCGAUAGUGAACCAGUACCGUGAGGGAAAGGUGAAAAGCACCCCGGAAGGGGAGUGAAAUAGAACCUGAAACCGUGUGCUUACAAGUAGUCAGAGCCCGUUAAUGGGUGAUGGCGUGCCUUUUGUAGAAUGAACCGGCGAGUUACGAUUUGAUGCAAGGUUAAGCAGUAAAUGUGGAGCCGUAGCGAAAGCGAGUCUGAAUAGGGCGUUUAGUAUUUGGUCGUAGACCCGAAACCAGGUGAUCUACCCUUGGUCAGGUUGAAGUUCAGGUAACACUGAAUGGAGGACCGAACCGACUUACGUUGAAAAGUGAGCGGAUGAACUGAGGGUAGCGGAGAAAUUCCAAUCGAACCUGGAGAUAGCUGGUUCUCUCCGAAAUAGCUUUAGGGCUAGCCUCAAGUGAUGAUUAUUGGAGGUAGAGCACUGUUUGGACGAGGGGCCCCUCUCGGGUUACCGAAUUCAGACAAACUCCGAAUGCCAAUUAAUUUAACUUGGGAGUCAGAACAUGGGUGAUAAGGUCCGUGUUCGAAAGGGAAACAGCCCAGACCACCAGCUAAGGUCCCAAAAUAUAUGUUAAGUGGAAAAGGAUGUGGCGUUGCCCAGACAACUAGGAUGUUGGCUUAGAAGCAGCCAUCAUUUAAAGAGUGCGUAAUAGCUCACUAGUCGAGUGACACUGCGCCGAAAAUGUACCGGGGCUAAACAUAUUACCGAAGCUGUGGAUUGUCCUUUGGACAAUGGUAGGAGAGCGUUCUAAGGGCGUUGAAGCAUGAUCGUAAGGACAUGUGGAGCGCUUAGAAGUGAGAAUGCCGGUGUGAGUAGCGAAAGACGGGUGAGAAUCCCGUCCACCGAUUGACUAAGGUUUCCAGAGGAAGGCUCGUCCGCUCUGGGUUAGUCGGGUCCUAAGCUGAGGCCGACAGGCGUAGGCGAUGGAUAACAGGUUGAUAUUCCUGUACCACCUAUAAUCGUUUUAAUCGAUGGGGGGACGCAGUAGGAUAGGCGAAGCGUGCGAUUGGAUUGCACGUCUAAGCAGUAAGGCUGAGUAUUAGGCAAAUCCGGUACUCGUUAAGGCUGAGCUGUGAUGGGGAGAAGACAUUGUGUCUUCGAGUCGUUGAUUUCACACUGCCGAGAAAAGCCUCUAGAUAGAAAAUAGGUGCCCGUACCGCAAACCGACACAGGUAGUCAAGAUGAGAAUUCUAAGGUGAGCGAGCGAACUCUCGUUAAGGAACUCGGCAAAAUGACCCCGUAACUUCGGGAGAAGGGGUGCUCUUUAGGGUUAACGCCCAGAAGAGCCGCAGUGAAUAGGCCCAAGCGACUGUUUAUCAAAAACACAGGUCUCUGCUAAACCGUAAGGUGAUGUAUAGGGGCUGACGCCUGCCCGGUGCUGGAAGGUUAAGAGGAGUGGUUAGCUUCUGCGAAGCUACGAAUCGAAGCCCCAGUAAACGGCGGCCGUAACUAUAACGGUCCUAAGGUAGCGAAAUUCCUUGUCGGGUAAGUUCCGACCCGCACGAAAGGCGUAACGAUUUGGGCACUGUCUCAACGAGAGACUCGGUGAAAUCAUAGUACCUGUGAAGAUGCAGGUUACCCGCGACAGGACGGAAAGACCCCGUGGAGCUUUACUGUAGCCUGAUAUUGAAAUUCGGCACAGCUUGUACAGGAUAGGUAGGAGCCUUUGAAACGUGAGCGCUAGCUUACGUGGAGGCGCUGGUGGGAUACUACCCUAGCUGUGUUGGCUUUCUAACCCGCACCACUUAUCGUGGUGGGAGACAGUGUCAGGCGGGCAGUUUGACUGGGGCGGUCGCCUCCUAAAAGGUAACGGAGGCGCUCAAAGGUUCCCUCAGAAUGGUUGGAAAUCAUUCAUAGAGUGUAAAGGCAUAAGGGAGCUUGACUGCGAGACCUACAAGUCGAGCAGGGUCGAAAGACGGACUUAGUGAUCCGGUGGUUCCGCAUGGAAGGGCCAUCGCUCAACGGAUAAAAGCUACCCCGGGGAUAACAGGCUUAUCUCCCCCAAGAGUUCACAUCGACGGGGAGGUUUGGCACCUCGAUGUCGGCUCAUCGCAUCCUGGGGCUGUAGUCGGUCCCAAGGGUUGGGCUGUUCGCCCAUUAAAGCGGUACGCGAGCUGGGUUCAGAACGUCGUGAGACAGUUCGGUCCCUAUCCGUCGUGGGCGUAGGAAAUUUGAGAGGAGCUGUCCUUAGUACGAGAGGACCGGGAUGGACAUACCUCUGGUGUACCAGUUGUCGUGCCAACGGCAUAGCUGGGUAGCUAUGUGUGGACGGGAUAAGUGCUGAAAGCAUCUAAGCAUGAAGCCCCCCUCAAGAUGAGAUUUCCCAACUUCGGUUAUAAGAUCCCUCAAAGAUGAUGAGGUUAAUAGGUUCGAGGUGGAAGCAUGGUGACAUGUGGAGCUGACGAAUACUAAUCGAUCGAAGACUUAAUCAA